AUUGAACGCUGGCGGCAGGCCUAACACAUGCAAGUCGAACGCGUGGCGGACGGGUGAGUAAUGUCUGGGAAACUGCCCGAUGGAGGGGGAUCACUACUGGAAACGGUAGCGAAUACCGCAUACCAUCGGAUGUGCGCAGAUGGGAUUGGCUAGUAGGUGGGGUAACGGCUCACCUAGGCGACGAUCCGUAGCUGGUCUGAGAGGAUGACCAGCCACACUGGGACUGAGACACGGUCCAGACUCCUACGGGAGGCAGCAGUGGGGAAUAUUGGACAAGGGGCGCAAGCCUGAUGCAGCAAUGCGGCGUGUGUGAAGAAGGCCUUCGGGUUGUAAAGUACUGUCAGCGGGGAGGCGGUACUCGCAGAAGAAGCACCGGCUAACUCCGUGCCAGCAGCCGCGGUAAUAC
This 406-nucleotide ribosomal RNA is filed under the name uncultured bacterium. RNAcentral describes it as "partial 16S ribosomal RNA". It matches the Rfam family "Bacterial small subunit ribosomal RNA", at positions 29 to 526 of the family's 1533-position model. The record is from RNAcentral.